Molecule: ribosomal RNA, 780 nt
Filed under: Triticum aestivum (bread wheat)
Lineage: Eukaryota; Viridiplantae; Streptophyta; Magnoliopsida; Poales; Poaceae
Description: partial small subunit ribosomal RNA
Source: RNAcentral
AUGAUGUACGGCCACGGCAUCGAGGGCAUGGGCUUCUUCCAUAUCGAGGUGCUUGACGCUACUCCGCCCUCCCCCUCGCUCCUGGCGGUUGUCUCUGUCGUGGGCGAGGGUGCCGCCUCCCCCGCGAUGAUCGAGGCCGAGCUCAACCACCUGUGUAGGUGCAAGUGGGACUGGCAGGUGGCCCCCACUUCCGCGAACGCCUUCACGGUGGUCUUCCUGGACGCCAUCAGCAUGGGCUACUGCACCCGCAGUGGCAACAUCACCUUGGUUCUCAACCAGUUGGUGGUGAACAUCUCCGAGCCGAAGUGGGACCCCAAGGCGGUGGUGGUUCUGGACACAGCGUGGAUCCUCGUCACCGGCCUACCUGAUGUUGCCCGGUCGGAGCGUGUCAUCCGCAGUAUGCCCAAGAUUCUCGGCAAGGUGGUGGUGGUCGACGAGCUCUCUCUCCGUAAGGAGGAGGAGGUCCGGGUGAAGGUGAAAUGCCUGGACUCCUCCAAGCUCCGUGCCACUGUCCGCGUGUUGUUCAACGACGAGGGUUUCGACCUCAAGAUCUGCCCCGAGCCGCUGAACCACGUCAGCCGCCCCCGCUUCUCCGAUGACGGCCACCAGGGGGUGGGCCGGGUGAUGCCAACGACUCCCACCAUCGGCGCCCUCGCCCAUCUCGCCACGACAACCCGGAGGACGACGACGACCUGUCAGAGCACUCUCGCUCCCCCUCCCGCGAGCCUUCCAACCCCCCUGCGGGUCGUGGUGGUUCGGGAGUCGGGCGCACCCGGGUGA